This 119-nucleotide ribosomal RNA is filed under the name Brassica oleracea var. oleracea. Lineage: Eukaryota; Viridiplantae; Streptophyta; Magnoliopsida; Brassicales; Brassicaceae. The record is from RNAcentral.
GGGUGCGAUCAUACCAGCACUAAUGCACCGGAGCCCAUUAGAACCCUGCAGUUAAGCGUGCUUGGGCGAGAGUAAUACUGGGAUGGGUGACCUCCCGGGAAUUCCUCUAGUUGCACCCC